GAUGAACGCUAGCGAUAGGCUUAACACAUGCAAGUCGAGGGGCAGCACAAGGUAGCUUGCUCUCUGGGUGGCGACCGGCGCACGGGUGCGUAACGCGUAUGCAACUUGCCCUAUACAGGAGGAUAACCCGUCGAAAGACGGACUAAUACUGCGUAUGCUCACAACUUGGCAUCAAGUGGUGAGGAAAGAAAUUCGGUAUAGGAUAGGCAUGCGUCCCAUUAGCUUGUUGGUGAGGUAACGGCUCACCAAGGCAACGAUGGGUAGGGGAACUGAGAGGUUUAUCCCCCACACUGGUACUGAGACACGGACCAGACGCCUACGGGAGGCAGCAGUGAGGAAUAGUGGUCAAUGGGCGCGAGCCUGAACCAGCCAAGUCGCGUGAAGGAUGACUGUCUUAUGGAUUGUAAACUUCUUUUAGACGGGAAUAACAAGAGUCACGGGUGACUCCCUGCAUGUACCGGAUGAAUAAGCAUCGGCUAACUCCGUG
Molecule: ribosomal RNA, 487 nt
Filed under: uncultured bacterium
Lineage: Bacteria
Description: partial 16S ribosomal RNA
Rfam family: Bacterial small subunit ribosomal RNA
Source: RNAcentral